UGGCUCAGUGGGUAGAGCAUGGUGUUUGUAACGCCAUGGUUGUGGGUUCGAUUCCCAU
Molecule: transfer RNA, 58 nt
Filed under: Salmo salar (Atlantic salmon)
Lineage: Eukaryota; Metazoa; Chordata; Actinopteri; Salmoniformes; Salmonidae
Rfam family: tRNA
About the family: Transfer RNA (tRNA) molecules are approximately 80 nucleotides in length.
Source: Rfam by way of RNAcentral